RNAcentral lists this long non-coding RNA (1020 nucleotides) under Homo sapiens (human). RNAcentral's name for it is "HSALNT0125158". Lineage: Eukaryota; Metazoa; Chordata; Mammalia; Primates; Hominidae. The record is from RNAcentral.
CUUUUGACAACAUAGAUGUUGUAAUCAUGAAGUUGCUUUAUGAUCUUUAUUUGCUUGGAAGUAUAAUGUUGUUCUCAGGCUCCCAAAUCUAAAAUAUCUCUAAUAACAAAAAUGCAUUUGUCAGCAGUGUUGUCUCCCUUGAAACAGCUCAAGAAGCAGCUUCUUUUCUAUGUGUUUUAUAAAAUGUUCCAUCUGGAUUUCAUGAACAGAAAGGUCCACUCCAGCCACAAAACUGGAUAGAUAAGCAGCCUUCAUUUGAUGCUGGUGUUUCACAGGUAUUUUCUUUCUUUCUUUUUUGAAACAGAACCUCGCUCUGCUGCCCAGGCUGGAGUGCAGUGGCAUGAUCUCGGCUCACUGCAACCUCCACCUCCCUGGUUCAAGCAAUUCUCCUGCCUCAGUCUUCCGAGUAGCUGGGAUUACAGGCGUGUGCCACCAUGGCCAGCUAAUUUUCUGUAUUUUUAGUAGAAACAGGGUUUCACCAUGUUGGCCAGGCUGGUCUCGAACUCCCGACCUCAAGUGAUCCACCCACCUCGGCCUCCCAAAGUGCUGGGAUUGCAGGCGUGAGCCACCGCGCCCAGCCUCACAGGUACUUUCUAAUCAAAGUUAAAAGAACUGGCAAAAUAAAUAAAAUAAAAUAUUCUGUCUGAUUAAUAUACUGCUCAGUUUCCCAGAAUCUCAAAUAUCAUCCACCUCAGCUUCUUGUACUGAAAUGACAACACCUGCAUCUUAAGGGAAUGCCAUUGUUGUAUAUGCCAUUAUUAUUUUCUAAAAGGCUUAUGCUUUGUUAUUUUCAGUGACUUUGGUCUUCUGUGUCAUUAAAUACACAACUACUUGAGCAAUUUGUUACUGGCUAAGAAAGUAUUCCUUGCCCCUUUUAGCCUGUCUUUUUCCCAUAUCCAAUGUAAUGUUCCACACACUCAAUUCUGCUGCUUCUUUCUUCUUAUUUUGAUUUACAGACAAUCUUAGGAUCAACUUUUAUUUAUUUUCUUCUUUAUUGUAUAAAUUUAAAAUGUACAACAG